Molecule: long non-coding RNA, 337 nt
Organism: Labeo rohita (rohu)
Lineage: Eukaryota; Metazoa; Chordata; Actinopteri; Cypriniformes; Cyprinidae
Exons: 3
Source: RefSeq, a predicted model, not a curated record
GCAGCCUCUGGUUGUGCAGGAACAGACUAUUGAAAGCAAAAGCUAAAACGUCCAUGGGUGAGAAGACACCAUUUCAGAUCCUUAUAAAGCUUUCACAAAAGUUACUUAAAGAUGAUGAUAAUAUCACUAGUAAAUCAGUAGGAGCCGUGUUUGUUUGACCAUCACACACAUAGUUUCCCUAAAUAAGAUGAACUUCUCACAUGGUGGUUGAAGUGAAAAGGCUAGGUGUCAGUUCAUCAUUAUGAAGGACAGAGAGAAAGAUGCAUCUGAAAUGAUGCAAAAUUCUCAGAAAACAUCAUCUCCUGAUCCCAGCUGUGUGUCUCUGAAGAGUGACAGA